CUCCACAUAUUCUCUCUCAUUCCCUAAUGGUUAGAAAAGUGUUCCUGACGUGAGGCAGUCGGAAAGGGCAGGUGUGAAGGGGAGAAGUCAAACAGUGAGGAAGAUUUGAGAAUCGGGAAAUGUCGAUGGGAGAUGCAGGAAGAGACAUCACCUAAGUUUGCACUUUAUCCCGUUGUGAUGCGGUUUGAACGGCAUCGUCUGGAUGAAAGCAUUACAUCAACAAGAUGUGACAACAAGAACGGAAGAGAGGGAAGAGAGAGAGAGCAAAAACAAAUGGAUGGCGGGCAUCACUGAAUCGUGGCUGACAAAAGUUUAUAGUUGGGUGCUUAAAUCCAAGGAUAAAUAUUUAAUCGAAAGGAUACGCAGGUAGGUGAAAGUGUUGGGUCGAAGCUGCUGUCAUUAAAAAUGAAAAGUCCUGAGAAAGAGGUGAUGUCGGAUUAGACGAUGAGGAUGUUAAGAAACUGCGUAGGUAAAAUGACCCUGAUGGAAAUUAUAUACAGGCAUGUUAACAGUAGCCAGGAUGUAGGCUGCAGAUUACAACGGGGGAGAGGAGAGCAUGGAAAAGGGUCAAUGCUAAAAUUGUCACAGGGAAUUUCAAUAUCCAGGUAGCUUUGGAAAAUCAGGUCGGUGCUGAAUCCCAAGUGAGGGAAUUUAUAGAAUGCCUAUGAGAUGGCUUUUGAGAGAAGCCUAUGGUUGAGCCCACUAUAGGAAAGGCGGAUCUGGAUUCUGUGUUGUGUAUUGAACCAGAUUUGAUUAGGGAGCUUCAGCUGAAUAAACCGUUAAGAGGCAGUGAUCAUAAAAUAGCAAA
This is a long non-coding RNA of Hypanus sabinus (Atlantic stingray), 808 nucleotides long. RefSeq lists it as uncharacterized. NCBI's taxonomy places the organism in Eukaryota, Metazoa, Chordata, Chondrichthyes, Myliobatiformes, Dasyatidae. The transcript has 3 exons. The record is from RefSeq and is a predicted model, not a curated record.